GUUUUCUUGCAGAGAUGAUAAAAGGCUGCUGCCUUCUGCUGCUUCUCAGCGACUUAUGCAGAACAGUUAGCAGUGAGGUGGUGCUGGAACAAGGUGCCCAGGCCUUGGCAGUCCGGGAGGGCGAAGAAGUGACCUUCCAGUGCCGUGUGACGGGAGGGGAGAUGAGCAGCUACUGGAUGUACUGGUACAGAAAGGGGCAGCAGGGCCCCUUGACCUGGAUUUACCGAGAAGGGGACCACUAUGGAGAAGGCUUCCAGGGCCGCUUCGUAGGGAAAGUUGAUAGCUCCAAAGACAGGUUCACCCUCAGGAUCCUGAGUGCAGAGCUGGGAGACAGGGCGAUGUAUUACUGCGCUUCCAGUCCCCACGGUGCCACAGCUGUGCUGCGGGGCAGAGCAAAAACUGACAGGGCUGCGGGGUAGGGGGUAUCGCUUGCAAACCACGGACCACGGCCAGCCCUGGGGCACAAGUGG
Chelonoidis abingdonii (Abingdon island giant tortoise) is the source of this 470-nucleotide non-coding RNA. NCBI's taxonomy places the organism in Eukaryota, Metazoa, Chordata, Testudines, Testudinidae. The record is from the annotation of a RefSeq genome assembly.